This 301-nucleotide ribosomal RNA is filed under the name uncultured bacterium. Its description in RNAcentral is "partial 16S ribosomal RNA". It matches the Rfam family "Bacterial small subunit ribosomal RNA", at positions 509 to 807 of the family's 1533-position model. The record is from RNAcentral.
CAGUCGCCACGGUAAUACGUAGGUGGCAAGCGUUGUCCGGAAUUAUUGGGCGUAAAGGGCUCGCAGGCGGUUUCUUAAGUCUGAUGUGAAAGCCCCCGGCUCAACCGGGGAGGGUCAUUGGAAACUGGGAAACUUGAGUGCAGAAGAGGAGAGUGGAAUUCCACGUGUAGCGGUGAAAUGCGUAGAGAUGUGGAGGAACACCAGUGGCGAAGGCGACUCUCUGGUCUGUAACUGACGCUGAGGAGCGAAAGCGUGGGGAGCGAACAGGAUUAGAGACCCCCGUAGUCCCUGUCUCUUAUAC